Molecule: ribosomal RNA, 492 nt
Filed under: uncultured bacterium
Lineage: Bacteria
Description: partial 16S ribosomal RNA
Rfam family: Bacterial small subunit ribosomal RNA
Source: RNAcentral
AGUGAACGCUGGCGGUAGGCCUAACACAUGCAAGUCGAACGGCAGCACAGUAAGAGCUUGCUCUUACUGGUGGCGAGUGGCGGACGGGUGAGGAAUACAUCGGAAUCUACUUUUUCGUGGGGGAUAACGUAGGGAAACUUACGCUAAUACCGCAUACUACCUACGGGUGAAAGCAGGAGAUCUUCGGACCUUUCGCGAUUGAAUGAGCCGAUGUCGGAUUAGCUAGUUGGCGGGGUAAAGGCCCACCAAGGCGACGAUCCGUAGCUGGUCUGAGAGGAUGAUCAGCCACACUGGAACUGAGACACGGUCCAGACUCCUACGGGAGGCAGCAGUGGGGAAUAUUGGACAAUGGGCGCAAGCCUGAUCCAGCAAUACCGCGUGAGUGAAGAAGGCCUUCGGGUUGUAAAGCCCUUUUGUUGGGAAAGAAAAGCAGCAGGUUAAUACCCCGCUGUUCUGACGGUACCCAAAGAAUAAGCACCGGCUAACUUCGUG